This is a long non-coding RNA of Mauremys reevesii (Reeves's turtle), 1040 nucleotides long. RefSeq lists it as uncharacterized. The record is from RefSeq and is a predicted model, not a curated record. NCBI's taxonomy places the organism in Eukaryota, Metazoa, Chordata, Testudines, Geoemydidae. The transcript has 4 exons.
UUCCCUGGCCUGAGAAGCCUACAAGAUGCAUUUACACGAGACAAAAGAAGACAAGACCCAUUGCUGGGCAGGAAACUUCAGGAAAGGGAAGUGGUGGAAAGUUACCCAGCGGCACCGAGAACCCAAGUCAGACUUCUUUUAAAAAGGGGAGGUGGAGGAGGAGAGAAAGAGGUUGCUUCGCUCCAGGGGAGGCCACGAAGAACAGCAGCAGGACUCAAACCACAAAGCCAAGCAUGGGAGAAAGUGACGAAGAGAACAGCAAGGAGAGAGGAUUGGAAAGCAUGUGGAGAAAGAAAGGAGGAAAUGAGAGCAGAGUCUCAAACGUGAGGAUGAGGAGCUUGAGGAUAAAGUGCACUGAGAGGCUGGAAGCCAAUGAAAGGGUGCUGUGGCUGGAGCAGCAGGAGCUGGCUUAGCAGCUGCCCUUUGAAUAGCCUGGAGGAAGGAGAGAAAGUAAUCAGUAUGCAUCACAUCCUUGGAUUGCCAGGUUCAAUCCAGUUGGCUCAGACUUGACCAUUUGAUUUAACACACACAUGAACUAUUUCUCUUUUGGGUGGCUGGAGCCAGGAUUUGAAGAAAUACAUCAAAUAUCAUGAAAAAAGUUGAGCAGAGAGCUGAGCCUCCAGUCCAAAGCCAGCAGCAAAGUUGAGGAUGGAAGCUAGAGAUUGGACCAAGCAGAGGAGACUGGAACCAGAUUACAAAGCACUUUACAAAGGGGGAGCAGUUUCAUUAAGCCCAUUUUACAGAUGGGAAAACAGAGCCACACAACAGUGAAGUAGCUUGCCUAAAGUCAUCCUGCUUGCUAGUGGUAGAGGAUAUGUCUACACUAGAACUGUAAAUCAACCUAUAUUCCCAGCCACUCCUGCUACGAAAUUGACAAGACAGCCAGCAGCCGAUGUUAGAGACACAGUGUCUAUACAGACUCUGCAUCGCGCUAACCACAGAGACAGAAGCCCUACGCCUCUCGUGGAGGUGGAGUUAUGAUGUUGCUGUAGCAGGGCACUUACAUCGACGGGAGGAAGGCUGGAGUGUAGACACUUUAG